AAUUCUCAACCUACAAGCCUUUGCGGGUUUGUACGUGUUGGACUUGGAGGAUUAUAAUUGUCGGCGCAAGUCGGCUCCUCUUAAAUGCAUUAGCUUGAUUCCUUGCGGAUCGGCUCUCGGUGUGAUAAUUGUCUACGCCGUGACCGUUGAAGCGUUUUGGCGAGCUUAUAAUCGUCUCUGUUAACGAGACAGCUUACUUUGAC
This 203-nucleotide unclassified non-coding RNA is filed under the name uncultured fungus. RNAcentral describes it as "sequence contains ITS2". Lineage: Eukaryota; Fungi. The record is from RNAcentral.